This is a long non-coding RNA of Engraulis encrasicolus (European anchovy), 506 nucleotides long. RefSeq lists it as uncharacterized. The transcript is spliced from 5 exons. The record is from RefSeq and is a predicted model, not a curated record. Lineage: Eukaryota; Metazoa; Chordata; Actinopteri; Clupeiformes; Engraulidae.
AGGAAAAUUACAAGAAGAGUCGUCAUUUCAAGGUGUUUCACGGACGUAUUGGUAUGUGGAUGUUGACAAUGUCGGACGACAUCAAAGUUGACACGAGAAGUUGGAGUGAAGAUGAGACGAGCCUGCGACCUGCCUACUCUUGCUGCUAUGCUGCUGCCGCUGCUGUUGCAUCCAUAGAAAUUGGCUGUUACAGAUUUACUGACCAGAUAAAGGAAGUUCCCGCUGAUGCAGACCCAGAUGUUGGGUACCCAGCCACCUAUGCACGUUGACACAGCCAGCAGCGGGCACCUAUUGGGAUGGACCCAGCAGGAUGACCCAAUAGGAUGAAAUUUCAGCCCACUCACUGUUGACACCAGUGACACACAGAUUGACCAGAUCUCAUGGAAGUACCCCCUGAAUCAGACCCAGUCGUUGGGUAGCCACCCUUGCACGUUGACACAGCCAGCAGCGAGCACCCAGGGCGAUGGACGCAGGAGUGGAGGAUUGCCCAAUAGGGUGAGUUGCUA